ACCAGAAGACCACAGAAGAUGAA
Molecule: non-coding RNA, 23 nt
Filed under: Cricetulus griseus (Chinese hamster)
Lineage: Eukaryota; Metazoa; Chordata; Mammalia; Rodentia; Cricetidae
Source: RNAcentral